GGCUAACGCUGGCGGCGUGUCUUAGCCAUGCAAGUCGAGCGGACUUAUGGGGUAACUUAUAAGUCAGCGGCGGACGGCGGAGUAACACGUAGCUAACCUACCCUCUGGACGGGGAUAACCUACCGAAAGGUGGGCUAAUACCCGAUGUAGUCAUCCUGUAUAGGGGUGAUGAAAGGUGGGCUUCUGUUUACAAGCUCAUGCUGGAGGAGGGGGCUGCGGCCUAUCAGGUAGUUGGUAGGGUAAUAGCCUACCAAGCCGAUGACGGGUAGCCGGCCUGAGAGGGUGACCGGCCCGAGGGGCACUGAGAUACGGGUCCCACUCCUACGGGAGGCAGCAGGCUAGAAAUUUGGGCAAUGGGGGAAACCCUGACCCAGUGACGCCGCGUGCAGGAAGGAGCCCUUCGGGGUGUAAACUGCUGUCGUGUAGGGAGAAGGGUACUAAGGUGAACAAUCUUAGUACUUGACGGUACUACAGGAGGAAGCCCAGGCUAACCUCGUGCCAGCAGGCCGCGGUAAGAUAGCGUACU
Molecule: ribosomal RNA, 526 nt
Filed under: uncultured bacterium
Lineage: Bacteria
Description: bacterial SSU rRNA
Rfam family: Bacterial small subunit ribosomal RNA
Source: RNAcentral